CGGGGGGCAGCAGUGGGGAAUAUUGGACAAUGGGCGAAAGCCUGAUCCAGCAAUGCCGCGUGAGUGAUGAAGGCCUUAGGGUUGUAAAGCUCUUUCACCGGGGAAGACUAUGACGGUACCCGGAGAAGAAGCCCCGGCUAACUUCGUGCCAGCAGCCGCGGUAAUACGAAGGGGGCUAGCGUUGUUCGGAAUUACUGGGCGUAAAGCGCGCGUAGGCGGUCUGCCAAGUCGGGGGUGAAAGCCCGGGGCUCAACCCCGGAACUGCCUCCGAGACUGGCAAGCUAGAGUAUGGAAGAGGGUCGUGGAAUUCCCAGUGUAGAGGUGAAAUUCGUAGAUAUUGGGAAGAACACCGGUGGCGAAGGCGGCGACCUGGUCCAUAACUGACGCUGAGGCGCGACAGCGUGGGGAGCAAACAGGAUUAGAUACCCCCGU
RNAcentral lists this ribosomal RNA (432 nucleotides) under uncultured prokaryote. Its description in RNAcentral is "bacterial SSU rRNA". It matches the Rfam family "Bacterial small subunit ribosomal RNA", at positions 342 to 791 of the family's 1533-position model. The record is from RNAcentral.